This 426-nucleotide ribosomal RNA is filed under the name uncultured Spumella. RNAcentral describes it as "eukaryotic LSU rRNA". It matches the Rfam family "Eukaryotic large subunit ribosomal RNA", at positions 89 to 493 of the family's 3401-position model. Lineage: Eukaryota; Synurophyceae; Ochromonadales; Ochromonadaceae. The record is from RNAcentral.
GCGAGUGAAGCGGGAAAAGCUCAGACUGAAAAUCUUCGGAAUUGUAGUCUGGAGGAGUAUGGUCAGCCGAUGAUGAUGAGUGAAGUCUUCUGGAAAGGAGCGCCUUGGAGGGUGAUAGCCCCGUUCAUACUUAUCAUUAGAAGCGUACGACCUGCUUUCUACGAGUCGUGUUGUUUGGGACUGCAGCACUAAGUGGGUGGUAAAUUCCAUCUAAAGCUAAAUAUUGGUGGGAGACCGAUAGCGAACAAGUACCGUGAGGGAAAGAUGCAAAGAACUUUGAAAAGAGAGUUAAAUAGUACCUGAAAUUGCUGAAAUGGAACCGAUGGGAAGCAGUGUCGGUGGCGGGUAUUUAUACCUGUCACAAGCCAGGCUUCUUUUCUGGUGCGGGAAAGGCUGAUAAACUAGUUUAGGUUAUCUACGCCGUCG